AGCGUUGUGCAGGGACAGUAUUGUAGCCAAUGAGGUUUAUCUGAGGUGCGAUUAUUGCUAAUUGAAAAAUGAGAGUAAGAUUUGUUUUGUUGUUUUUGCUUUUUUUCCCCCACAAAGUUUUUUUUCCUCCUUUGAGU
Lontra canadensis (Northern American river otter) is the source of this 137-nucleotide small nuclear RNA. RefSeq annotates it as U4 spliceosomal RNA. The transcript has a single exon. The record is from RefSeq and is a predicted model, not a curated record. Lineage: Eukaryota; Metazoa; Chordata; Mammalia; Carnivora; Mustelidae.